CCCCACCCCUCGCCCGCGAUCCAAAACGACCGGGCAGUAGGAACGGCCCUAGCUUUUACUCCAGCGUUGCCCGGCCGGCAAGCUAACGCCACAGCAGUCCUCCAUCCCGAAAGGUUCUAUUAUUGGCUCCCACUUCACUGGUGAAGAAACUGAGGCACAGAGAACCUCAGGAACCUCUCCCAUCCCACAGAUUAAAAGGUGCACACUACUGAAGGGAUGUAAAGUGUCCAGACAUUGAAGAGGGUUUCGUGGAGCACCAUCACUGAUAAAGAAAUGCAAGUACUUUUUCAGAUGGAGAAAAGGAAGCAUGAAAAGGAGAAGCAAGGUUACCGAGGGAGCAGGGGAGGGACUGGCUUCUGGUCUCUUGCUCCAAACCCUGCUCCACUUUGUCUCUCUCACAAACAGCUGUCAAACUUCCUCUCCAGGCAGAACACUGCAAAUAGGACCUAUGGUGUGCAAAGCAUUUGUGUUUAAAUGGGAUAGACACCAUCCUGGAGCAGAACCCAAGGGCCUGAACAGAAGUGGCGGAGAAAGAAGCAAUUGUUACCACUGGUGGCAGAAACUCCCGUCUUGCAGUGAUAUACCAGAAACAGGGAAGUAAUGAGUGGGAAGCUCAGUAUCAUUGGUCAACCCACCAUAAACACAUCAAGACAUUUGCUUUAUUUAAAAACCUAUUUUUGACACUGUAUUUAGAGAUUUUCCUUCCUUAAUGUCAGAACUAUGCAGAGAAAGACACUGUAAA
Molecule: long non-coding RNA, 742 nt
Organism: Manis javanica (Malayan pangolin)
Lineage: Eukaryota; Metazoa; Chordata; Mammalia; Pholidota; Manidae
Source: RefSeq, a predicted model, not a curated record